RNAcentral lists this ribosomal RNA (502 nucleotides) under uncultured bacterium. RNAcentral describes it as "bacterial SSU rRNA". It matches the Rfam family "Bacterial small subunit ribosomal RNA", at positions 49 to 518 of the family's 1533-position model. The record is from RNAcentral.
UAAUACAUGCAAGUCGAACGGUCUUUCUAUGGAAGCUGCUUACCACUGAGAAGAUAGUGGGCGAACGGGUGGAGUAACGACCGUGGGGUAACCUGCCCAUAAGAGGGGGGAUAACAUCCGGAAACGGGUGCUAAUACCGCAUAGUUUUCUUGAUCGCAUGAUCGGAAAGGAAAGACGGCCUUUGUGCUGUCGCUUAUGGAUGGACCCGCGGCGUAUUAGUUAGUUGGUGAGGUAACGGCUCACCAAGACGAUGAUACGUAGCCGACCUGAGAGGGUGAUCGGCCACAUUGGGACUGAGACACGGCCCAAACUCCUACGGGAGGCAGCAGUAGGGAAUCUUCCGCAAUGGACGAAAGUCUGACGGAGCAACGCCGCGUGAGUGAAGAAAAGGUUUUCGGAUCGUAAAACUCUGUUGUCAGAGAAGAACAAGUUGGAGAGUAACUGCUCCAGCCUUGACGGUAUCUGACCAGAAAGCCACGGCUAACUACGUGCCAGCCGCCGC